UAGCGUAGGGACCAAGCGUUGUUCGGAUUUACUGGGCGUAAAGGGCGCGUAGGCGGCAAUUCAAGUCAUCUGUGAAAUCUCCGGGCUUAACCCGGAACGGUCAGGUGAUACUGUCUUGCUAGAGUGCGGAAGGGGCAAUCGGAAUUCUUGGUGUAGCGGUGAAAUGCGUAGAUAUCAAGAGGAACACCUGAGGUGAAGACGGGUUGCUGGGCCGACACUGACGCUGACAGCGCGAAAGCCAGGGGAGCAAACGGG
Molecule: ribosomal RNA, 255 nt
Filed under: uncultured bacterium
Lineage: Bacteria
Description: partial 16S ribosomal RNA
Rfam family: Bacterial small subunit ribosomal RNA
Source: RNAcentral